AAAUUAAGCAUGUGGGUUGCUUGAGUUAGCCAAUUACUUCAAUUUGAUGGAUGGCUUUGCUCCUUCUUGUAGUGGAAGGCUCUUAACCAGAAUUUCUAAAAUUUCUGUGGCCAGAAAAAUAAUUAGUAAAUGGAAAAUUGGCAAUAAAAUCACUGUUAAGCAAUGAUUGAUUUUGACAGUUUUUUGAUAGUCCAACAUUUGAGGUAGGUCUUUGUGUUGAUUGUGAUAACUAUUUUUUUAAUGCUAUGGAGAUGUUUUUAAGAAAAAACAUAUAA
This 275-nucleotide unclassified non-coding RNA is filed under the name Hevea brasiliensis (rubber tree). Lineage: Eukaryota; Viridiplantae; Streptophyta; Magnoliopsida; Malpighiales; Euphorbiaceae. The record is from RNAcentral.